Molecule: ribosomal RNA, 442 nt
Filed under: uncultured bacterium
Lineage: Bacteria
Description: partial 16S ribosomal RNA
Rfam family: Bacterial small subunit ribosomal RNA
Source: RNAcentral
CCUACGGGGGACUGCAGUGGGGAAUAUUGCACAAUGGGGGAAACCCUGAUGCAGCGACGCCGCGUGAGCGAUGAAGUCUUUCGGUAUGUAAAGCUCUAUCAACCGGGAAGCGCAGAAGACGGUACCUGUCGAAUAAGCCUCGGCUAACUACGUGCCAGCAGCCGCGGUAAUACGUAGGUGGCAAGCGUUGUCCGGAUUUACUGGGUGUAAAGGGCGUGUAGCCGGGCUGACAAGGCAGAUGUGAAAUCCGGGGGCUCAACCCCCGAACUGCAUUUGAAACUGUUGGUCUUGAGUAUCGGAGAGGCAGGCGGAAUUCCUAGUGUAGCGGUGAAAUGCAUAGAUAUUAGGAGGAACACCAGUGGCGAAGGCGGCGUGCUGGACGACAACUGACGGUGAGGCGCGAAAGCGUGGGGAGCAAACAGGAUUAGAUACCCCGGUAGUC